This 451-nucleotide ribosomal RNA is filed under the name uncultured bacterium. Its description in RNAcentral is "bacterial SSU rRNA". It matches the Rfam family "Bacterial small subunit ribosomal RNA", at positions 329 to 793 of the family's 1533-position model. The record is from RNAcentral.
CUCCAGACUCCUACGGGAGGCAGCAGUGGGGAAUAUUGGGCAAUGGGCGAAACCCUGACCCAGCAACGCCGCGUGAAGGAAGAAGGCUUUCGGGUUGUAAACUUCUUUUACCAGGGACGAAGAAAGUGACGGUACCUGGAGAAAAAGCUCCGGCUAACUACGUGCCAGCAGCCGCGGUAAUACGUAGGGAGCGAGCGUUGUCCGGAUUUACUGGGUGUAAAGGGAGCGUAGACGGCAAUACAAGUCGGAAGUGAAAUACCCGGGCUCAACCUGGGAACUGCUUUGGAAACUGUAUGGCUGGAGUGCUGGAGAGGUAAGCGGAAUUCCUAGUGUAGCGGUGAAAUGCGUAGAUAUUAGGAGGAACACCAGUGGCGAAGGCGGCUUACUGGACAGUAACUGACGUUGAGGCUCGAAAGCGUGGGGAGCAAACAGGAUUAGAUACCCGAGUAUG